This 350-nucleotide long non-coding RNA is filed under the name Manihot esculenta (cassava). RNAcentral describes it as "long non-coding RNA (MESC_LNC010993)". The record is from RNAcentral. Lineage: Eukaryota; Viridiplantae; Streptophyta; Magnoliopsida; Malpighiales; Euphorbiaceae.
CCUCUAUAAACAGGAAGAUGCACGUACUGAACAAGGGAAACGGGUCAACUCUUCUUCAUCCUCACAAACUCUCCAAAGCUCACUUUUUGCUUCAAACCCUUCAAAACUUGGUGAAUGAGCAAACUCCUGCAUGAGCUGCUCAAAAUACUUGCAGAUGAGUCAUAGAAGACGUGGCUAAUUCAUGGCAAGAAUCUGAGGCCAACAUCUGUCAAAAGCCAUGACUCAGCUUGGCUGGCCAACUCAUCGUCGGCUGCCCACGCACAUGCAAGACCAUGCAACAUUCGGGGGCCGAACUUCCCUUCGGAAGCCAAACACUUUCGGCGGCCGAACUUACUUUCGGCGGCCGAACU